UGGGGCGUAACUCAGUGGUAGAGUGACCGACUGUUAAUCGGUUUGUCGCAGGUUCGAAUCCUGCCGCCUCAGCCA
RNAcentral lists this transfer RNA (75 nucleotides) under Bacillus spizizenii. Its description in RNAcentral is "tRNA-Asn". It matches the Rfam family "tRNA". Rfam says of the family: Transfer RNA (tRNA) molecules are approximately 80 nucleotides in length. Their secondary structure includes four short double-helical elements and three loops (D, anti-codon, and T loops). Further hydrogen bonds mediate the characteristic L-shaped molecular structure. tRNAs have two regions of fundamental functional importance: the anti-codon, which is responsible for specific mRNA codon recognition, and the 3' end, to which the tRNAs corresponding amino acid is attached (by aminoacyl-tRNA synthetases). tRNAs cope with the degeneracy of the genetic code in two manners: having more than one tRNA (with a specific anti-codon) for a particular amino acid; and 'wobble' base-pairing, i.e. permitting non-standard base-pairing at the 3rd anti-codon position. The record is from RNAcentral. Lineage: Bacteria; Bacillati; Bacillota; Bacilli; Caryophanales; Bacillaceae.